GAUGAACGCUGGCGGCGUGCCUAAUACAUGCAAGUCGAGCGAACAGACGAGGAGCUUGCUCCUUCGACGUUAGCGGCGGACGGGUGAGUAACACGUAGGUAACCUACCUAUAAGACUGGGAUAACUUCGGGAAACCGGAGCUAAUACCGGAUAAUAUUUCGAACCGCAUGGUUCGAUAGUGAAAGAUGGCUUUGCUAUCACUUAUAGAUGGACCUGCGCCGUAUUAGCUAGUUGGUAAGGUAACGGCUUACCAAGGCAACGAUACGUAGCCGACCUGAGAGGGUGAUCGGCCACACUAGAACUGAGACACGGUCCAGACUCCUACGGGAGGCAGCAGUAGGGAAUCUUCCGCAAUGAGCGAAAGCCUGACGGAGCAACGCCGCGUGAGUGAUGAAGGUCUUCGGAUCGUAAAACUCUGUUAUUAGGGAAGAACAAACGUGUAAGUAACUGUGCACGUCUUGACGGUACCUAAUCAGAAAGCCACGGCUAACUACGUG
This 497-nucleotide ribosomal RNA is filed under the name uncultured bacterium. RNAcentral's name for it is "partial 16S ribosomal RNA". It matches the Rfam family "Bacterial small subunit ribosomal RNA", at positions 28 to 507 of the family's 1533-position model. The record is from RNAcentral.